UACGUAGGGGGCAAGCGUUGUCCGGAUUUAUUGGGCGUAAAGAGCGUGUAGGCGGCCAUACAGGUCAGCUGUGAAAACUCGAGGCUCAACCUCGAGACGUCGGUUGAAACCGUAUGGCUAGAGUCCGGAAGAGGAGAGUGGAAUUCCCGGUGUAGCGGUGAAAUGCGCAGAUAUCGGGAGGAACACCAAUGGCGAAGGCAGCUCGCUGGGACGGUACUGACGCUGAGGCGCGAAAGCUAGGGGAGCGAACAGG
RNAcentral lists this ribosomal RNA (253 nucleotides) under uncultured bacterium. Its description in RNAcentral is "partial 16S ribosomal RNA". It matches the Rfam family "Bacterial small subunit ribosomal RNA", at positions 524 to 776 of the family's 1533-position model. The record is from RNAcentral.